RNAcentral lists this ribosomal RNA (460 nucleotides) under Cladophora sp. LC2. Its description in RNAcentral is "LSU rRNA". It matches the Rfam family "Eukaryotic large subunit ribosomal RNA", at positions 76 to 550 of the family's 3401-position model. Lineage: Eukaryota; Viridiplantae; Chlorophyta; Ulvophyceae; Cladophorales; Cladophoraceae. The record is from RNAcentral.
UCCCUUAGUAACGGCGAGCGAAAAGGGAUGAGCCCAGCAUGUAAAUCUCCGGUUUCCGGCGAAUUGUAGUCUGGAGUAGCAACUCCUGGUGCCGUGCCGGCCCAAGCAUCUUGGAAUAGAUCGCCUCAGAGGGUGAGAGCCCCGUAGGUCGGUACGAGCUCCUACACGGAGUGCUCACGCAGAGUCGGGUUGUUUGGGAAUGCAGCCCCAAUUGGGUGGUAAACCCCAUAUAAGGCUAAAUACCUGUGGGAGACCGAUAGCAAAAAAGUACCUCGAGGGAACGAUGAAAAGACCGCUGGCAAGCGAGUGAAAGAGUGCAUGAAAUUGUAUAGUGGGAAGGGAUGGCCUGGCGUAUUGCCCGCGGGUAUACACUGCUCUUUGAGCUCUUGAAUACACCGUGGGCUGGCUGGUGCCGACACCUGCGCUUGCAAAUCCCCAAACUAAGGUGUUUGGCUCUCAA